CAAUAGCGUAUAUUAAAGUUGUUGCAGUUAAAAAGCUCGUAGUUGGAUUUGUGGCGUACGGUGUGUUCCGGGCACUUGUUGUCUGAGUAACCUGCUGUUGCCAUCCUUGGGUGGAACCUGUGUGGCAUUAGGUUGUCGUGCAGGGGAUGCCCAUCAUUUACUGUGAAAAAAUUAGAGUGUUCAAAGCAGGCUUAUGCCGUUGAAUAUAUUAGCAUGGAAUAAUGAGAUAGGACUUUUUUGCUAUUUUGUUGGUUUGCGCAAGAAGGUAAUGAUUAAUAGGGACAGUUGGGGGUAUUCGUAUGCCAUUGUCAGAGGUGAAAUUCUUGGAUUUUUGGAAGACGAACUACUGCGAAAGCAUUUACCAAGGAUGUUUUCAUUAA
RNAcentral lists this ribosomal RNA (380 nucleotides) under uncultured eukaryote. RNAcentral describes it as "partial 18S ribosomal RNA". It matches the Rfam family "Eukaryotic small subunit ribosomal RNA", at positions 592 to 976 of the family's 1831-position model. The record is from RNAcentral.